Molecule: ribosomal RNA, 253 nt
Filed under: uncultured bacterium
Lineage: Bacteria
Description: partial 16S ribosomal RNA
Rfam family: Bacterial small subunit ribosomal RNA
Source: RNAcentral
UACAUAGGGCUCAAGCGUUGUUCGGAUUCAUUGGGCGUAAAGGGUGCGUAGGCGGCGCUGUAAGUCGGGUGUGAAAUCUCGGAGCUUAACUUCGAAACUGCAUUCGAUACUGCCGUGCUUGAGGACUGGAGAGGAGACUGGAAUUUACGGUGUAGCGGUGAAAUGCGUAGAUAUCGUAAGGAAGACCAGUGGCGAAGGCGGGUCUCUGGACAGUUCCUGACGCUGAGGCACGAAGGUCAGGGGAGCAAACGGG